RNAcentral lists this transfer RNA (69 nucleotides) under Ictidomys tridecemlineatus (thirteen-lined ground squirrel). Its description in RNAcentral is "Spermophilus tridecemlineatus (thirteen-lined ground squirrel) tRNA". It matches the Rfam family "tRNA". From Rfam's summary of the family: Transfer RNA (tRNA) molecules are approximately 80 nucleotides in length. Their secondary structure includes four short double-helical elements and three loops (D, anti-codon, and T loops). The record is from Rfam by way of RNAcentral. Lineage: Eukaryota; Metazoa; Chordata; Mammalia; Rodentia; Sciuridae.
GGGGUUGUAGCUCAGUGGUAGAGCGCUUGCCUAGCAUGUGUGAGGCUCUGAGUUCAAUCCUCAGCACCA